AGCGAACGCUGGCGGCAGGCCUAAUACAUGCAAGUCGAACGAAGCCUUCGGGCUUAGUGGCGGACGGGUGAGUAACACGUGGGAACGUGCCCUUUGGUUCGGAACAACUCAGGGAAACUUGAGCUAAUACCGAAUGUGCCCCCUUCCUUGACCGGGAGGGCGGGAAAGAUUUAUCGCCAUUGGAGCGGCCCGCGUCUGAUUAGCUAGUUGGUGGGGUAAAGGCCCACCAAGGCUACGAUCAGUAGCUGGUCUGAGAGGAUGAUCAGCCACACUGGGA
This 277-nucleotide ribosomal RNA is filed under the name uncultured bacterium. RNAcentral's name for it is "partial 16S ribosomal RNA". It matches the Rfam family "Bacterial small subunit ribosomal RNA", at positions 29 to 318 of the family's 1533-position model. The record is from RNAcentral.